UGGGGAAUCUUGGUCAAUGGACGAAAGUCUGACCCAGCAACGCCGCGUGAAGGAAGAAGGCUUUCGGGUUGUAAACUUCUUUUGGCAGGGACGAAAAAAAUGACGGUACCUGCAGAAUAAGCUCCGGCUAACUACGUGCCAGCAGCCGCGGUAAUACGUAGGGAGCAAGCGUUAUCCGGAUUUACUGGGUGUAAAGGGCGCGUAGGCGGGAAUGCAAGUCAGAUGUGAAAUCUGAGGGCUCAACCCUCAAACUGCAUUUGAAACUGCGUUUCUUGAGUGGUGGAGAGGCAAGUGGAAUUCCUAGUGUAGCGGUGAAAUGCGUAGAUAUUAGGAGGAACACCAGUGGCGAAGGCGACUUGCUGGACACUAACUGACGCUGAGGCGCGAAAGCGUGGGGAGCAAACA
Molecule: ribosomal RNA, 405 nt
Filed under: uncultured prokaryote
Description: bacterial SSU rRNA
Rfam family: Bacterial small subunit ribosomal RNA
Source: RNAcentral